This 671-nucleotide ribosomal RNA is filed under the name uncultured Tuber. RNAcentral describes it as "eukaryotic LSU rRNA". The stretch from base 268 to 421 matches the Rfam family "5.8S ribosomal RNA". The record is from RNAcentral. Lineage: Eukaryota; Fungi; Ascomycota; Pezizomycetes; Pezizales; Tuberaceae.
GAGGAAGUAAAAGUCGUAACAAGGUUUCCGUAGGUGAACCUGCGGAAGGAUCAUUACAAAUGUCUGGGAUGUCCAAUCGGGCCCCCAAGCAAACACAUCCAUGUGUACACUCCCAUGUUGCUUCCCCAGAUCAGUGGCCACUGCUGCCAGCCCACCCCCUCAAUCGGGGUCCUGGGUUGAGGUGUCUGGGGAAGGGCCCAAUAACAAACCUUUGAACCAAUUAGUUGUCUGAGUAGGCCACCCGCCGCAAUCUUUAAAACAUGUUAAAACUUUCAACAACGGAUCUCUUGGCUCUCGCAUCGAUGAAGAACGCAGCGAAAUGCGAUAAGUAAUGUGAAUUGCAGAAUUCAGUGAAUCAUCGAAUCUUUGAACGCACAUUGCGCCCUUUGGUAUUCCUUAGGGCAUGCCUGUUCGAGCGUCACUAAAAACCCCCUCACAGAUAAUGUGGUAUUGGUAGAAGUGAACGGUACUUACAUUACCUUGUCUCACUCUGCUGAAAUGAAUAGGCCAGAGAAGUGGACCCAUGGUAAUUGACUCCAGGAGUGUUUUUCAAUGCUAAACUAGUCUUUACCCAAGUCAAAUUCUGAGCUACUGGACCCCCCAUUAAGUCCAAAACAGAGUGGUUGACCUCGGAUCAGGUAGGGAUACCCGCUGAACUUAAGCAUAUCAUA